UCUCAAUAUGUAUGUAUGUCACCUGAAAUGCAACGAAGACAUCACACAGUAAAACAAAGAGCCUUUGAGGUCUUUAGUGCAGGUAUUUUACUCAGGAAGGACAGAGGGGUUAGCCAUAAAUAAAGACUUUUGACCUCACGGGUGUGAAGGCACACAAACACACAGUAAAACAAAUGAUCAGAAAUAGCCUUUGAACUCUUUAGUGCAGGAGACCUCACAGAUGUGAAGAUAAUAAAAGCCCAGGGGGUUAGAAUGACCAUGUUUUUUUCUGAAAACAGCUAGGUUUGGUUUACAGGGUUAAGUGGAAAUUUACAUAGAAGGAGUCUUGUAAGAAGUGGGAAGUGAUAACCAUAUAAUAAGGCUGUCUGUUUUUCAGUGUGAUUCAGGUCUGUUGUGUUUCAGGGUAGCUGCCGAAACAGUGAACAGUUACAUGUGUCCUGCACAAAUAGCAAAGUCAUUUGACUAAAACUGUACUCGUUAAGAACUAAACAUCAAACAUGUACAAGGAAAGACAGAUUGAGAAACAGACUGUGGAAUCAUGGAAAUACAAGGUCAUCACAUCCUCAGGGGUCACCAUGUUCCUUAUGGGAGAAUGUUCUAGUAAAUUGAUGCAGCCAUCUUUUUCACUGACAGUAGCCAGCAGAGCCUGUUGUCUGAUGGGAAGGGAGAACAAGGACAGACACCUGCCCUCCAAAAACAACACUGCACCA
This is a long non-coding RNA of Carassius carassius (crucian carp), 710 nucleotides long. RefSeq lists it as uncharacterized. The transcript is spliced from 3 exons. Lineage: Eukaryota; Metazoa; Chordata; Actinopteri; Cypriniformes; Cyprinidae. The record is from RefSeq and is a predicted model, not a curated record.